GUCCACGCCCUAAACGAUGGGCACUAGGUGUGGGAGGUAUCGACCCCUUCCGUGCCGCAGCUAACGCAUUAAGUGCCCCGCCUGGGGAGUACGGUCGCAAGGUUGAAACUCAAAGGAAUUGACGGGGGCCCGCACAAGCGGUGGUGCAUGUGGUUUAAUUCGACGCAACGCGAAGAACCUUACCUAGGCUUGACAUCCCUGGAAUCCCCUUGAAAGAGGGGAGUGCUCGCAAGAGAGCCAGGAGACAGGUGCUGCAUGGCUGUCGU
RNAcentral lists this ribosomal RNA (266 nucleotides) under uncultured bacterium. RNAcentral's name for it is "partial 16S ribosomal RNA". It matches the Rfam family "Bacterial small subunit ribosomal RNA", at positions 793 to 1055 of the family's 1533-position model. The record is from RNAcentral.